CCUACGUGCGGCUGCAGUGGGGAAUUUUGGACAAUGGGGGCAACCCUGAUCCAGCCAUGCCGCGUGCGGGAAGAAGGCCUUCGGGUUGUAAACCGCUUUCGGCCGGAACGAAAUCGCCGGGGAGAACAUCCCCGGUGGAUGACGGUACCGGAAGAAGAAGCACCGGCUAACUACGUGCCAGCAGCCGCGGUAAUACGUAGGGUACGAGCGUUAAUAGGGAGUACGCAGCGGAUAGCGUGCGCAGGCGGUUAAAUCCCCGGGCUUAACCUGGGAACUGCGUUUGUGACUGGCGGGCUGGAGUGCGGAAGAGGGAGGUGGAAUUCCACGUGUAGCAGUGAAAUGCGUAGAGAUGUGGAGGAACACCGAUGGCGAAGGCAGCCUCCUGGUCUAGCACUGACGCUCAUGCACGAAAGCGUGGGGAGCAAACAGGAUUAGAUACCCCUGUAGUC
RNAcentral lists this ribosomal RNA (449 nucleotides) under uncultured bacterium. RNAcentral's name for it is "partial 16S ribosomal RNA". It matches the Rfam family "Bacterial small subunit ribosomal RNA", at positions 338 to 795 of the family's 1533-position model. The record is from RNAcentral.